UACGUAGGAUGCGAGCGUUGUCCGGAAUUAUUGGGCGUAAAGAGAACGUAGGCGGUUUCUUAAGUUUGGUCUUAAAGACCGGGGCUCAACCCCGGGAAUGGAUCGAAUACUGGGAGACUGGAGGAUGUCAGAGGAAAGUGGAAUUCCAAGUGUAGCGGUGAAAUGCGUAGAUAUUUGGAGGAACACCGGUGGCGAAAGCGACUUUCUGGGGCAUUCCUGACGCUGAGGUUCGAAAGCUCGGGGAGCAAACAGG
Molecule: ribosomal RNA, 253 nt
Filed under: uncultured bacterium
Lineage: Bacteria
Description: partial 16S ribosomal RNA
Rfam family: Bacterial small subunit ribosomal RNA
Source: RNAcentral